UGGUAAUGCCGGAUGCUCCAGUUGAUCGCAUGGUCUUUCUGGGAAAGCUUUCGCGGUAUGGGAUGGGGUCGCGUCCUAUCAGCUUGACGGCGGGGUAACGGCCCACCGUGGCUUCGACGGGUAGCCGGCCUGAGAGGGCGACCGGCCACAUUGGGACUGAGAUACGGCCCAGACUCCUACGGGAGGCAGCAGUGGGGAAUAUUGCACAAUGGGCGCAAGCCUGAUGCAGCGACGCCGCGUGAGGGAUGGAGGCCUUCGGGUUGUAAACCUCUUUUAUCGGGGAGCAAGCGAGAGUGAGUUUACCCGUUGAAUAAGCACCGGCUAACUACGUGCCAGCAGCCGCGGUAAUACGUAGGGUGCAAGCGUUAUCCGGAAUUAUUGGGCGUAAAGGGCUCGUAGGCGGUUCGUCGCGUCCGGUGUGAAAGUCCAUCGCUUAACGGUGGAUCCGCGCCGGGUACGGGCGGGCUUGAGUGCGGUAGGGGAGACUGGAAUUCCCGGUGUAACGGUGGAAUGUGUAGAUAUCGGAAAAGAACACCAC
RNAcentral lists this ribosomal RNA (538 nucleotides) under Bifidobacterium longum subsp. infantis. RNAcentral's name for it is "bacterial SSU rRNA". It matches the Rfam family "Bacterial small subunit ribosomal RNA", at positions 161 to 712 of the family's 1533-position model. Lineage: Bacteria; Bacillati; Actinomycetota; Actinomycetes; Bifidobacteriales; Bifidobacteriaceae. The record is from RNAcentral.